CACAAGCGGUGGAGUAUGUGGUUAAUUCGAUGCAACGCGAAGAACCUUACCUGGUCUUGACAUCCCGGAGACCCUUAGGAAACUAGGGGUGCUUCCAUCUGGAAGAAUCUGGAGACAGGUGCUGCAUGGCUGUCGUCAGCUCGUGUCGUGAGAUGUUGGGUUAAGUCCCGCAACGAGCGCAACCCUUGCCUUUAGUUGCCAGCAGUUCGGCUGGGCACUCUAAAGGGACUGCCGGUGUUAAACCGGAGGAAGGUGGGGAUGACGUCAAGUCCUCAUGGCCUUUAUGACCAGGGCUACACACGUACUACAAUGGCCGAUACAAAGGGCAGCGACACUGCGAGGUGAAGCCAAUCCCGUAAAAUCGGUCUCAGUCCGGAUUGGAGUCUGCAACUCGACUCCAUGAAGUUGGAAUCGCUAGUAAUCGUGGAUCAGCAUGCCACGGUGAAUACGUUCCCGGGCCUU
This 462-nucleotide ribosomal RNA is filed under the name uncultured Desulfobulbus sp. Its description in RNAcentral is "bacterial SSU rRNA". It matches the Rfam family "Bacterial small subunit ribosomal RNA", at positions 924 to 1382 of the family's 1533-position model. Lineage: Bacteria; Pseudomonadati; Thermodesulfobacteriota; Desulfobulbia; Desulfobulbales; Desulfobulbaceae. The record is from RNAcentral.